CAAGACUGUAGUAUCGGGGAGUGAGGGCUGGACCGGGGAGGCCUCCAAGGCCAGGUGAGGUGGUAGGGACAAGGAGCGGAGGUGGGAGGGAGCUUCUGUCUGGUGAAGAUCAUGGGUGAGAUAUUGCGUGCCAGACCAUCAAGCCUGGACUUGACCCCUGCAAGUCUUGCCCGGACACCAUUCAUCAGGGAACUGACUCAGAGAGCUGGAGCCAGGGGAGCAACAAUUCCAGAGACUUCCUUUGAGGGAUGAGCAAAGCCAGUCCCUAGAGAGGAAGGGAGUGGCCCAGGGUCACAAACACACUGGGUGUGGAGGGGUUCAGUUGCCCAGAUCCCCCUCUCACAGACCUCCCUGUCUCUUGUUCCCCCAUUCCCAGAGAGGUCCUAGGGCUGGUGGACCUGGUAGCCCUGGAGAAUGGGGAGCUGGGACCCCUUCUGUCUCCCGGCACCCUGCGGGGCUUGGAGGAUGAAUGUGUCACAGACGUUAAGGCUCAGACGCGCGCUGCCCUGCUUCGGGUGCUGCAGGAGAAUGAGGAGUACUGGGGGAGCACGGAGGACCGGCCCAGCAGCCUGGCGCAGGAUGUGUGCGAGCUGCUGGAAGAGCAUACAGNNNNNNNNNNNNNNNNNNNNNNAUUAGUACCCAGGAUCCAAAAGAGAGAGGAGAGAUGAAAGGCAACCAAGUAAGAAAGGGCAGGGGCGCGUCAGUGAGGAUCACAGGCUUUGCGGGGCCGAGUGCCCAGCCAGAGACUCUUCUCCAGCGGUGAUCCAUCUGUCACACGCCCACCCUUUCUCCUGUCCCCAGCUUCCAGCAGCGGGUGGAGCGAUUCCACGAGCAUCCAGGAGUACGGGAGCUGCUACCUGACACCUACAUCAGCAGGACCAUUUUCCUCGUCAAUUGUGGGCCCCCACUGAGGUGAGAGCACACAGUGGGGGUGGGGGUGGGGAGAGGGCCAGUGGCCCUGACAAGCUGAAUGGGGGUGCCCAGAUUCCAGGCAGGGAUCCCAGAGCUCGCCCAGAGCGACAGGCACAUGGGGCCUUAGAAGCAUAAAACCCUAGGCAGUCCUAGAAAGAACCUUAGCAUCACAGAGCGCUAGAAUUCUGGAGUGAUUGGAACAAGGGAGUGUUCUAAUUAUAGACACCUAGAAGCCAGACUCGAACACUCUAGGAAUUACAGAUUUCUUUUUUUUUGCCUUUUUAUCUUACUCUCCUUUUUUAUUAACUCAUUCUUCAUGCAUUUGAAAAAUCGGUUAUGCAUUCACAUGGGUCAAAAUUAGAGAUACAAUAGGGCAUACAGUGCAAAGCCUCCCUCCUACACGCUCCCCACCUUGCUUAUUGCUAGAGUCUGCCAUAUCUCUGCUGGGGCAUUUGAUAUAUUUACCCGUAAAUACGUGUAAAUAACUCUAUGCGUGCAUAUGCAUACCUCAUGCAUAUGCAUAUUUGUGUGUGUUCAUAUGCAUAUUUCAUGUGUUCACUACAUCUAUAUUCACAAGUGAAUAUAUUUCACUGUGUGAAUACAUAUUAUUCCUUUUCCUUAAAAAAAAAAAAAACACCUGCAAGUGGUAGACCAUUGAACACACUUUUGUGCCUUUCCCCUUAAGAGCUUGGAGACUUUCCUGUUAGCACAUGGAGUUCCCACA
This is a long non-coding RNA of Ursus maritimus (polar bear), 1636 nucleotides long. Lineage: Eukaryota; Metazoa; Chordata; Mammalia; Carnivora; Ursidae. The record is from Ensembl.